Long non-coding RNA from Eucalyptus grandis, 2659 nucleotides. RefSeq lists it as uncharacterized. The record is from RefSeq and is a predicted model, not a curated record. The transcript is spliced from 5 exons. Lineage: Eukaryota; Viridiplantae; Streptophyta; Magnoliopsida; Myrtales; Myrtaceae.
UCGACCCACAGGUACUUUGGUUACCAUCAUCGACAACUGUUUUUCCCAGAUCUAAUGUUCGUCUAUGAUCUGCAGCCACUGCAUUGGACGGAGAUGGCAUGAUAGCAGCUUUUCUGCUGGAGAUGGGUUCUGCAUUUUGGUGGGCGUUACUGUGGUUAGAGAUUGCAGCCUCAUCAAAGAUGGGAUUUUGCUGUCCUGUAGCGAAGGAUCCAUUGUUUUCUUUUUCUCUCAAAUUUGGGUUUAUGUGAAGGCUGUUGCUGGUUCCUCUCUUUUUUGUUCUCAAUAAUUUCUUUCCCCUUUGAUCUUCAUUCACGGCAUCCCCAACUCUGACCUCCAGGCCCUGGCUUUCAAGCUCGCCAGCGCGAACUCGUGGGUGAAGAGGAGCGUGAAGAUCUACUCGCCCGGCGUCAGGUUUCACUACAUCGCCGUCGGCAACAAAGUGAGCCCCGUCAACGGAGGCACUGCGCAGUAUGACGGGUUUGUCCUCCCUGCGAUGAGGAACAUACAGGCCUUGCUCAGAUCGUCCGGCUUGAAGAACCAGAUCAAGAUCUCGACUGCCAUCGACAUGACCCUGAUCGGGAACUCCUACCCUCCAUCCCAAGGUGCAUUUCGAGGAGAGUAGUCUUAAUUCAGGGGUGCUGUUAGUUGGAUCACAGUUCAUAUCCAUCGAUCCUCUAUUAGCAAUGGCCGUUGCAGCUGCUGGUGAAGGAAGAUCCAAGCCUUGUCUAACAAAAAUGGUUCGGUCUGUGCUGCUUGUUGUGUGCAGGGGACUCCAUUCACAGGGAUGGGUCAUUCCAUAGUUGUGUUGUCCACGGGCAUAGGAGGAGAGUGUGUUCGAUGGUCUCCGGUUUCAGGUUACAUAUUGGACACACAGGUGCAGGAAAAAGUGACAGGAUGAGUGGACUAUGAUUUGAUUCGAUGGCUGGUAGGGCGACUACUUCUGCAGCUGGAUAUGUUAUUCUCCACUCCAUGGCUGGUCUUCUGCGUUUUGUACUUGCUGAUCAGCAUUGGUUGUUUCGGCAAGAGGUGUUUCUGGUACAAUAUUCGGAUCAUCAAUGAGUGUAGCUUGUUUCCCAUAAAAAAACUUUACCAUAAGGGCUAAGUUCCCUAACUUCCGCCCUUAGCCAAUUCCCAAAGUUACCUGGUGUUAUUUCCUUUGGAUUCGAGUUUAACAUCAAUAACUUCACCAAUCUUGGCUGCUAUGUCUUUGACAAUAUCUGUUGUCACUCUUCCAAAUGGUAGGCCACAAAGGUGCACCCAAAAAGGGCAGUGAGUGAACUCAUAACACAUUUCAGGAACAUCUGGGUCGCAUUGUUUAAGGACGAGGAGAUUACCGGAGAAAGACCAUGGGCCAAAGUUUAAAACUUUCUGCUUGUCGGCUUCAGAGUUAAAGGAAAAGGAAAAGAACCCCGGUUCAAGUACGGUGCAAGAUACAUGUUCUGUCUUCCAUGCUAGUUUCAUAGUAUUAAGAAAAGCCUGAAAGUUCACUUUGGGGCGAGAGUACAGUUUUCCGAACAAGAUUAAACGGCAUUCUGCCAAUUUUUCUUCAGAUAUUCCUUCCUUAAUAUCGAUCACAUCUUCCGCAGACCAAAGAUUCCCCAGGCUGCUACACAUUGCCUCUAAUCUAUUCUCCUCAGAUGACUGAUCAGCCAUACUUCUCUUGUUAGAACUAAGCACAAGAAGGAAGGGGGUUACCUCAGCAUAGAAGACACGGCACCUGUCCUCGUUUAGUGAUAUAAACCUGGGAUGAAGAUGAUGACGCAGCACAGAACAGGCUGGCUCACUUUCCCCUCAACUGUGUGCAAGGGUAGGCGACAAAACGGUCCAAGAUAAAAGGGCUUGUGGGCCUUUUCAAAAAGAGAGCAGGGGCGGAAGGAGGUGAGCAGCCAGAAGGUAUGUCAGGGGUCAGGGAUCGCGAGGGUUGGGGAUAAAAGAAAAUACAGGAUCGCGAAGGGAAGUGAGGGUAUAGGGUCGCAGAAGGGGAAGUAACUAAUAUUUACCGAAAUUAGGGUUUGGAAAUACUAGUGAAGUGGAAAUUAACGACAAGAUGGAAAAGACGCUGUUAAAGGGAGUAAGGGUUUGGGCGAAACCACCCAUAAGAUUGGGGAAGGAGAUCGCAAGAUGGCUCGCACAACCCAUGGAAGGUUAACGAGGAGGAUUAGGAGGAAUUUGGGAAAUUGUGAAGGCAGAAGCGAUUUACAUCAGCUUUAGUGUUGACAAACCGAGGGAACUACCAUGCAGUAGGGAGAAACCCAGAAUCGCCUGGGAGAGCUCUCACGCCGCGCAUUAAGGAAGUGGCUACCUUCAAAAUUGUUCAACCACUGCAGCAAGAAAUUUAGGUGGGGCUAAAGCAAUGACAUGGCAAGGACAAUCUCUGACACAUUGGGAAAUUGGUGAGUGCUGGUGCUUCGUUCGUCGUCAGGGCUGGGUCUUUGGAAUAAGUGAGCUUGAUGGCAAAAGGUGCACUUUUCCCCCUAACUCACAAUGGGAGAACGUGUGUCUCUAUAUUAUGUGCUUCGAGAAAAAAAUUAGCCAACCCUCAUUUUUUGUCUAUUCUUUGUCCGCUUAUAUAGACGUAACAAUUUUAGCACUGAAGGAAAGGGGCGAUAUUUUAUUUCCUCUUGAGAACGUCUCAGUAUAUUUGGCUUGAUUUCGUCCA